CUUUGGAGAUUUUAAUAUUGAUUGGCUGAAUCCUAAAAAUAAUAGUUCUUGCUUGCUGUUUAAGGUAUACCCUGCUGCGUAAGGUGAGAGUAAAAGGGGCACAUAUGAAUUGGAUCCCAGCCGACCUCAUUCAAAUGUACCAGUUUUGGUAUUCAUUGUGGUUAAAGUUUAAGCAUACUGGCUCUAUGAAUGAUCACUGUGCAUAUAGACAAU
Molecule: non-coding RNA, 213 nt
Organism: Pelobates cultripes (western spadefoot toad)
Lineage: Eukaryota; Metazoa; Chordata; Amphibia; Anura; Pelobatidae
Source: the annotation of a GenBank genome assembly